AUGGCACGAACAUUUUAAAUAUUAAUUGACAUUGCCAAAUUGCCUUCCACAAAAAGGAUGUGAAAAAUGUACGCUCUUAACAGGCUAUGGGAGCUCAUACAGAGAAGCUGCUCUUGGGUAGAAGUGACAGAAAUCCCAACUCAGAAUGGUUUAAACAAAUGAAAACAUGUUGGCUUAUAUAAAGGGAAGUUUGCUGUAAGGGCUUAACACGUAUUAUCAGAGCCAGGUUGUUUUAGGGUCCUAGCUCAGCUCUGCGGCCUGCUGAGUGUUUGCCUAAAUGUCAGAUAGGUCACUCCUCAUGGUCACAGGAAGGCUGCCAGCAGCGCCUGGGCCACAUGGUCCUGGGUCCACAUCAGAGGAACAGCACUUCCAGGAAACACUCUGAUCGGGCUGCUACUGUGAUGGGCUCUUGGACGACUCGGUGCCAUCACGGCAAUGUGACCUGACGCAGGGGCUGAUUUAGCUCAGGGUCACAUGUUGUAGCCCUAGGGCUGGGUGUGGCUGGGUGUGCUGCUCACACCAGAUGGAGAAUGAGCGUGCCUGGCCCAGCCUCAGAAGUGCCCUGGGCUUGCUUGACUGCUGCUGUCAUCUUGAAGUUCUUAAUAAAUGUUAAACAUUUCGCACCGGGACCUACAAAUCAUGUUGCCAAUCACAGAUGAAAAUUCGGGCUGCUUUUAGAAAACAGAGGCAAUAUAGCUGGGUUGACAAAACACAAAUGUCUACUGCAAUGGUUACGUGCUAAGUAAUAUGAUUUAAACAAUUCCUCCUUGAACGGUUUUAUUGCUUGCUGUCUCUAAUCCUCUGCUCGAUACCAAAAAUGACAGGGCUGGGUGGGGUGGUCCCCGCAAGUGGUCUAGCUCUGCUUUUCCCCAACAAAUGUCUGCCUCCCUUGGGCUGUGGAAAUUAAUCUGUACCUGCACCAAGUUUAUGGACAGGGUGAUGUUCUUGAAGUUAAGCUGCUUCAACUGUACUGGUAUUAAAAAGUGGCCACCAAUUAAAACGGGGAGAAAAUCAACCAUGUUACAGGAAUGAGAAAACUAAAUGGAUGGGCCCCAGCUUUACUCAGCUCCUAGCAACCACCAGUGUUAUGGAAAAUUUCCAAUAUGAAAAUCCCAAGGUUUAGGGCAAUGCUUUUUGAAGAUUCUUGUAAAUAGGUAACAGCUUGGUGUGGUGGAUUAGACAUAUUUUUUCAGUCUGCUUUCUUUUCACACGUAACCCAAUUAUUUUCCUCUAAUUGAGGAGCAAAGCAGACACUUAAAUGGCAUCUAAGUAUUUCUGAUGUGCUUCUUUCAUCCUCAUAAAUGGUCCCAUCCAUAUAUUUCAGUGAAAAUUAUAUUGUAUGGCCAUCUUUCAAAAAAGUGAUUUAUUUUUUACUUCAGCUAUCAAUAUGUGACUAUAUUCUCUUGUAAAAAGAAAAAAAAAAAGGAAGAAAAUGGAGCAUUUCAGGUGAGGUUAAAGUCCUUUCUGACCACCUCUCCCCACCUCACUCUAUCACUCAUUCUCCAUCCUUGUCCCUUCUCAGAGGUAAUUGCCCUAAUCAGGUCUUAGCUUUUUCUAGAAUGUUCUAAGCUUUUAGAUACCUAUAUAUCUCCCUAAAAAAUGGCUACAAUUGUUUUGUUCUGUUUUGACAUAAAAGGCAUCAUCAUGCAGCUCUCUCUUUAAAAAAAAAAAAACAAAAAAACCUCAACAUAGCUUGGCGAGCUUUCCACACAAUAUGCACAUUUUUAACUGCAGGAAAGUUUGUGCUGUAGAAAUAUUCCACAUUAGAUAAAGCCUCGAUGGGCCUUUAGGGUGAUUUGUGGUUUCCACUCUUUCACGCAAGAAUGCUGCAGUGACCAUCUCCGCGUGGGCCUUUGAGGGCAGCAUGUCUGCUCAGCAUGGCCUUUGCGAUGGCUGACGGGCUAGCCCCAGAACCCACACCUCUGGGGAAGCAGAGGCAGUGAGCCUGGGCAGAGGGGGCCUGGGCUGUGAUGAAGCUGCAGCAAGGCCUUUGUCACCUCCAUGGUGGGAGGUGCGCUCUGGAGCAGGGCUAUUGAGAGCUAUUCCGAGCUGGAGCCACAGGACAGGUGUCUUGCACCCCACAUCCACUGGUCACUGGUCGUGGACUGCCUUGGGGGAGGGACGUGACUUGAAGGUCUUCAGCAAUCCCCUGGGAUGGGAAGGGCAGAGGUGUCGCGCUGGGGCCUUGGCUGUGGCUGUCAGCCAGGAACAGAGGGGACAGUGUGAGAAGAAGGAGGUUGGGUCCUGUGGAUGCGGUGGGGGCAGGGACCCACAGACUCACGGCGUUCCCACAGUUAAAGACUGAGGUGAGAUUGCCUUUAGUGGGCUGUGGACUUGUCGGGCGGGUGUGGUCUGGAGAGGAUGCUUGAUUUCAAAGGGAAAAGACACUGUCAGAUAACCCGAGACAAAACCUGAGGCCUCCGGGACAUGUGCCACCAUCCUGCAGCUUUGCAGACAUUUCCAAAACCAGCCUGAUCUGCAGCGGCUUAGCCUGUCUCAUUCUAAAACCCACCAAGGUAACUUAGCCUUAUCACUUCCCUUCAAGCCAAGUGGCCUUGAAGGUCAUGUCCAGGCUCUGAUCCCUUGUCAAAUGUUUCUGGUCAGUGCCCUACUUCAGAGCCGGCAGGACUGAAUGCAAUGCAUCUCAACGUGGGCUGUCCUCCCGUGGCCACAUCAUUUGGAGGAACUUGAAUAAACUGGGGCUUGAUAACUUGUUUUUAUACAAUACAUUUUAUUAAAUAUAAAUGGGAAUCAUUAGCUGAAACACUUAAUUAAAACCAUGGCCAAAUUAGAUAAAUGCUAAGGAGAGGUCUCUAAAUUUAUUGCCCGAUGAUCUAUAGGCUUGCUCAGUAAUAUACUCCCGGAAACCUCCUUAAUGAAGCUAUUAAGCACAUAAAUAUCAUACGUGCCAAAUGUCGAAAUUUAGUGAUGAUAUAUCCCAGUUUACUUGCUAAGUAAAUAUACCCCCUUGAAAGAAGCCACUAAUUCAUGCUGCUGAGGACCAGAGCACGAAACUCCUCACCUGCCUGAAAACAGACCUUUAGAAAGAGGCAAUUUCUGGCACCCCGAGGCCAGGAAGCAAGGAGCUGCUCCCCACCAGUAAGCCAGGGGCUUCCGGUCUUGUGCUCUGUUUCUUAAACUUUCCUUCUUACAAAGGCAGAGCAGGUGCCACUGGCCACAGACUUGUUCCUCUGUGCUAACCGACUUGGAGUCUGGGGGAAGCUUCUCGACGUGCAGAGGGGGGUGAGUUCAGGGCUCCUCUGGCACCUGGGAGGCCCAGGAGGGCUGCAGGUGUGUGAGGUCUGGAGGUGUGGCCUCGAAGGACCCAGACUCCUCAGCCCUCUCACCCUUAGGAUCUUGCUCAUCUGAGCUGCCAAACCUCCCCCGCUAACAGCAACGCGGUCUCCUGCGCCUCAUUCAGGUGCCCAGGCAGGGGGCCUGGGAGGUAGUCUGCUUUGAUGGCCACCUUGGCCCAGAAUGGGCACUUUGGGAACUGGCCCGCCUUCCCUGUUCUCUUAACUGACCUUGCCUACUGCUCUUGUCCUGCCCUGCUCCCUGCUGCAGCUGCAUCAGCACCUUGACACCUGCCUUCCCCCUAUCCGGAGUGCCCUACACUCCCCCAAAGCUCCCCAAUAACCGCACGGCUGCUUCCCCCACCCCACCCCGAUGCCCAGGCUGCCAGGAAUCUCUCCUCAUCCCGUCCGAACAGGACGUGUUUUUCCGUUGUCCCUCACUCUGCCUUUUGCUUGUUCCAUAGUGCUUGUCACCACCUGACAUAUUUCAUAUUUAUCCAUUCAUAGUCUGUCUUCCCUCCCAUGAAUGUAAACGCCACUGGAGCCGGGGGAGGAAAUAGUCACUAUUUGUUCACGGUGAAUCCCUAGCACCUAAUUCAAGGCCUGGCACACAGCUGAUGCUCACCAGUCUUUCAAAAAUGAAUGAAUGAAUGAAUGAAUAAAUGAAUGACUAAUAAGCAGCAGCCACUGGGAGCCACACUGUGCAGGAACGAGAGCUACACCUGCUCCCAGAACAGUUCCCAGCUAGCAGGGAGCUGAAAUGAAGUAAAGAGGAGAUGACAAAAAAGCAGGCAGAGUUCUCCCAUUCAGGGGGGGAGAGUGGGGACCAGCAAGGCUCUCCAGAGAAAUGAAGGGGAAGACGAGUCUGUAAGGGAGCCCCAGGUGAAUGGGGCUCAGUGAGGCUGGAGCCAUGAGCGCCAGGACUGGAGGCUUGGUCCUGGAGGUGUGUGCCUGGAGAAGGGGGAGGCAACCUUGGAGUGGUGCCAUCAUCCUGGGAGUGUGCAUGGUGAGAGGGGAGAGGCCAAGGACAGACCAGCGACAUGCAGGGGCCCUGAAUGAGACAAGCAGCAGUUCCCAGGGGCUGGGCUGAGCCAGAGCCAGGGGGCCCAGCAGCUAGGAGAGAGCCAGCCAAGGGCGCCAUCAAACCAUCAGCUGUUCCUCUGCAGCCAGAAGGCUCAGGUCAGGAGAAGGAUAUUCUGGUCUGAGCACGGGGCUCCAAGGUGACUGGUGGGUCCAGACUAACCGGCAGUGGAGAGAGGCGAGCACAAAAGGGUGCGUGGAGACGAAUGGGACAGACGCUCUUUCCAGAGGUUGGACUGUGGGAUCCGUAACAGUAAAUCCCAUUUACUGAGGAGAAAACGAAGCUCACAGUGUCUCAAGUGGGCGCAGGACCACCUGCUUUCAACGUGUGCUGGAGGUCAUUCUGAGAGUGGGUCCCACGUGCAGGUGUGUUUGGGAGAUGCUUUCAGCUGGCCCAGGGACAUGGCACCAAGUGACCAGGCAUCUGUAGAUCAGUCCCGGCCUUUACCUCUCUGUCGGCUCUGGGUACCCAAGCAGAAAGCCUCCUUCCUGGUGGUGCUGGCCAAUCUCCCACCUGCCCAUCUGCCUUUCUCACCAGGACAGGAGCCUCUGUGGAUGUAGCAUCUGGUGACUGCAUACCAUGGACUUUCUUUGAACUGAUUUCUAAAAUCAUUUUAUACUGCAGGCAAGUGGGUUUUGUUUUGUUUCCUUCAAGAUGGUAAUACCAAGUUUCUUGCAAAAAUGCAUUCAGUAAGAAAGUGAGUCAGUUUAAAACAAAUUAAAAGUUGAGUAAAUUAGGUAAUGUUACCUAAUAGGUAAUAUGAAGAGAUGCCAGGCCAGGGGAGGGGGGUGCUGGUUGGGACCUCCUGGGCCCCAUCAUGCCAUGAAGAUGGUCUGACGUCACUGUGCUCCAGUGACAAUGGGUGGGGUAAUCUAGUUACUCUGGUACUGGGUUGAACAGUGUCCCCUAGAAAUGCAUGUCCAUGGGGGACCUCAGAAUGUGACCAAUUUGGAAAUAGGGGCUUUGCAGAUGUAAUUAGUUAAAUGAGGUUAUACUGGACCAGGGUGGAUCCUAAGACAAUGACUUUUGUCCUUAUUAGAGGAAAAUUUGGACACAGAGACAGACAUACAGGAAAGAGGCCCUGCGAUGACAGAGGCAGAGACUGGAGUGACACAGCCACUUGCCCAGAAAUGCCACAGGUUGCCAGCAGCUGCCAGACACGGGGGGAGGGGGGCACAGGGGGACUCUUCAGAUACUCUGGAAGAAGCACAGUAUGACUGCCAACACUUUGACCUCAGACUUCCAGCCUCAGGGUUCUCUUGUGGCACAACGGGUUAAGGAUCUGGCAUUGUCACUUCAGCAGCUUGGGUCACUGCUCUGGCAUGAGUUCAAUCCCCAGCCUGGGGAACUUUCACAAGGCCCAGGCAAGGCCAGAAAGAAAACAAAGAAAGAAAGAAAACUAAAUAGACUUCCAGCCUUCAGAACUGUGAGAGGACAUACUUCUGCUGUUUUAAGCCACCUGGUUUACGGUCAUUUGUGACAGCAGCCACAGGAGACCUUAUACAACCAAUUUCUGAAAAUUGAUCAUUAGAUGAUCCAUUAGUAAUUAAGAAAAAUGGCCUUAUUUGGUAUAUUGAUGAGCACUUUGAUAUUCAUAAAAUUUCUUUCUUGUAGUUGUUAUCCUGGGUGAAUCCUUCUGGAGCCAUAAGGUGGAAACAUAUUCUGACCCAAACCA
RNAcentral lists this long non-coding RNA (6049 nucleotides) under Sus scrofa (pig). RNAcentral describes it as "lncRNA (ENSSSCG00025066115.1)". Lineage: Eukaryota; Metazoa; Chordata; Mammalia; Artiodactyla; Suidae. The record is from RNAcentral.